Molecule: long non-coding RNA, 482 nt
Organism: Leopardus geoffroyi (Geoffroy's cat)
Lineage: Eukaryota; Metazoa; Chordata; Mammalia; Carnivora; Felidae
Exons: 3
Source: RefSeq, a predicted model, not a curated record
CCAGACUGGGGGCGGGCCGGGGGGGGGGGGGGGCUCUGACGACACUGAAAUAGGGCUUCCUGAGGGUCCAUCGCCUCCACCCCAUGCUUUCCCGUGACCUGAGCUUCAACUGCUGUCCUGCUACUUCCCACCAUGUAGUUGUUAAAAAGAGGAGGAGAGUGGAGAGCAAGGAAUAAAAACCCAGAAGACCAGGCUCUGCCUCUGCCAGAGAUGAGGACUCUUCCCUCCACCGCCCGCCCUGUGCCGCCACCAUGCUCGUCCGGGGGCUCCCCGUGUCCCUCUGUGUAGCAGGGAUCCUCCAGCUUUUCUCAGCGACAGGCAGCAUCUUGGACUCUGGUGGGUGUGACGAGUUUGCCCUGUUUGGCCAGAGCCUCAUCAGCCCUCUCCCUGUCCUCCUGAUUGUACACAUUCCAGUCACUGUGUGCGCCCAGUUCUUCAGUCUUAUUGUCCUCUCCUAGGGCAUCUGGCAUGAGGCCGAUCCC